Molecule: long non-coding RNA, 1814 nt
Organism: Callithrix jacchus (white-tufted-ear marmoset)
Lineage: Eukaryota; Metazoa; Chordata; Mammalia; Primates; Cebidae
Source: Ensembl
AUGGCUGAUUUUGAGCAAAUAUUUAAUGCUGACUAUUCCAUUCUUUGUAAUGGUUUUCUCUAAAAUGGAGUUAUUUUUCAAAACAUUUUAAAGAUGAUACAUUAUUUUCAUAAACUUAUUUCCUUUUUCUUCUCUUUUUUCUCCGAUGCUGCCACUGCUGCCUCCUUCUCUGCUGGUUUGCUGGGUUCCUUGGCCUUGGCAUCAUCUGGUUCCUUCUUGGCCGCCUCUGUCUUCCUUUGGGUUUAGCAUCUUCCUUCAUCUCCACCUUGGCAGGAACCUCCUUCUCUGGGGUGGCUGUUUUUUUCUUAUCUUCAACCUCUUCCUUUUUGGCUUUGACUUUGGAUUCUUUGGGCUUUUUCGACGGCAGGUUCCUUUUUCUCCACCUCAGGCUUUGGAGCCUCCUUCUUGGGUGCCUCCUCUUUCUUGCUGUCCUCCUCCGUUUUUGGCAUGGUGGGAGCUUUCUCUUCUUCUACCUUCUUUGGGGGCUCUUUGACUUUCACCUUCUGGGGCUUCUCCUCCUUCAUUGGAGACUUCACCUCUCUUUUCUUUGGGAUCUCCUUCUCAGGGGCCUUGGCAUCCUCCUUCACGGGAGACUUCGCCUUCUCUGGGGACUUGAUCUCCUCCUUUACAGGGCUUUUGGCUUUUUCAGAGGAUUUGUCUGCAGGAGACUUUGCUUCCUCCUUUGCUGGAGUCUUGGCUUCUGGAGACUUCACAUCAAGAGUCUUGGCCUUCUCAGGGGACUUUACAUCUUCCUUCACUGGGGACUUGGCUUUCUCAGGAGACUUGACUUAGCUAGAGAUUUUGCUUCUUCCUUCUCUGGGGACUUGGCCUUCUCAGGGGACUUUGCUUCUUCCUUUACUGGGGACUUGGCCUUCUCGGGAGACUUGACUUAGCUAGAGAUUUUGCUUCUUCCUUCUCUGGGGACUUGGCCUUCUCAGGGGACUUUGCUUCUUCCUUCACUGGGGACUUGGCCUUCUCGGGAGACUUUACUUCAGCUAGAGAUUUUGCUUCUUCCUUCUCGGGGGACUUGGCCUUCUCAGGGGACUUUGCUUUCUCCUUCACUGAGGACUUAGCCUUUUCCAGAGACUUGACCUCAGCUGGAGAUUUUGCUUCUUCCUUUACUGGGGACUUGGCCUCAGCCGGUGACUUUGCCUCUUCCUUUGCUAGGGACUUGGUCUUCUCUGGAGACUUGGCCUCAGCCAGUGACUUUGCCUCUUCCUUUGCUGGGGACUUGGUCUUCUCUGGAGACUUGGCCUCAGCCAGUGACUUUGCCUCUUCCUUUGCUGGGGACUUGGUCUUCUCUGGAGACUUGGCCUCAGCCAGUGACUUUGCCUCUUUCUUCACUGGGUACUUGGCUUCCCUCUCUGGGGAUGAGGCCUCUUCUGCUGGGGGAGACUUUGCUUCUUCUUCUCCCCCUUCUGCCUCCUCCUCUUAAGCCCCCUCUUCCUCCUUGCCCUCCUCCUCUUUGGCCUCUUUAUCCUCUUCUUCAGUCACUUCUUCAGUCACUUGGGUCUCCUCCGUCUGUUCUUCCACAAUCACAGUUUCUUUCUCAGACUUGUCUAUCACUUUGAUCUCUUCGCUUUUGACCUUUAUGUGUGUGGACAUAGAGGGAAUCUUGGGGAGUUCUGGAAGUGAGAAAGGAAUUGGGCCAAGCCAAUCCGACACUCUUCACCUUCCAGGAGUUUUCUGUAAGCGGCUAUCUCUAUAUUCAGAGCCAUCUUGACAUUGAGCAGGUCCAGGUAUUCUCACAGCUGGGCUGCCAUCUCCUGCUGGGUGGGAGCUGCUGGGCGUCCAGCUGCUGAAUGGCUUCCUGG